RNAcentral lists this transfer RNA (66 nucleotides) under Ibidoecus bisignatus (glossy ibis head louse). RNAcentral's name for it is "tRNA-Gln". Lineage: Eukaryota; Metazoa; Arthropoda; Insecta; Psocodea; Philopteridae. The record is from RNAcentral.
UUUAGAAAAGUUUUAUAAACAUUAGAAUUUGAAUCUAACAUUCGUAAUUUGAUUUACGUUCUAAAA